AGUGAACGCUGGCGGUAGGCCUAACACAUGCAAGUCGAACGGCAGCACAGGAGAGCUUGCUCUCUGGGUGGCGAGUGGCGGACGGGUGAGGAAUACAUCGGAAUCUACUCUGUCGUGAGGGAUAACGUAGGGAAACUUACGCUAAUACCGCAUACGACCUACGGGCGAAAGCAGGGGACCUUCGGGCCUUGCGCGAUUGAAUGAGCCGAUGUCGGAUUAGCUAGUUGGCGGGGUAAAGGCCCACCAAGGCGACGAUUCGUAGCUGGUCUGAGAGGAUGAUCAGCCACACUGGAACUGAGACACGGUCCAGACUCCUACGGGAGGCAGCAGUGGGGAAUAUUGGACAAUGGGCGCAAGCCUGAUCCAGCCAUACCGCGUGGGUGAAGAAGGCCUUCGGGUUGUAAAGCCCUUUUGUUGGGAAAGAAAUCCAGCUGGCUAAUACCCGGUUGGGAUGACGGUACCCAAAGAAUAAGCACCGGCUAACUUCGUGCCAGCCGCCGCUGUAA
RNAcentral lists this ribosomal RNA (506 nucleotides) under uncultured bacterium. RNAcentral's name for it is "partial 16S ribosomal RNA". It matches the Rfam family "Bacterial small subunit ribosomal RNA", at positions 29 to 523 of the family's 1533-position model. The record is from RNAcentral.